Impatiens glandulifera is the source of this 1289-nucleotide long non-coding RNA. RefSeq lists it as uncharacterized. Lineage: Eukaryota; Viridiplantae; Streptophyta; Magnoliopsida; Ericales; Balsaminaceae. The transcript has 4 exons. The record is from RefSeq and is a predicted model, not a curated record.
UAUCAUUUCUACAUUUCAUUCUCUCUCUCCAAACCUCUUUCUCCUACCAUCGCCGCCCAAACCCUAGAUCCCCAAAUCCCUUCCCCCACCGCCUCUUCGUCUCUUCAAACCCGUUCCUCCAUCACCGUCUCUUCAAACCCGCUUCCCCAUCGUCGUCUCUUAAAACCCGCUCCUCUCAUUGCCGUCCACAUCCUAAACCCUUCCCUCCCCAAAUCCCAUUCUAUAAUACUCGACUCUCUAGCCAAACCCUCCGCCUCUCUACCCGAUUCUCUUGUCAGAUCCUCCGCUUCCCUAGACACUUCUGUAGCCAAACCCGCCGCUUCUCUAGCUGAUUCUCUAAUACCCUGUCGCCCUUUUCUAGUUCCACUUCUCUCCUUCUUAACGGGUAUCUUACAAUAUCAGUAGACAAAAAUCUCAAAGAAAACGGGAUCUAAGUGAAUCUGAAUAUAUAGAAUCUGACAAGGAUGUACAUGGAUAUAAAAUUGGUGAUAAAAGAACAAAAAAGGACAAAGAGUCUCUAAAGACGAAAACUUCAACUUCUAAACGUGUCAAAAUGGUAAUAUCCCCCAAACGACUGAUGAAGAAGGUUAGUGAUUCAACUUUUAAUUUGGUAAUAUGCUUCAUAUUCAAAUGAAAAUCAUAUUCUAUUUGGCUGAUGAAGAUGGUUGAAUUGUAUGUUGAAUUAUAGGUUUGACAUAAUGCUAUUGUCAAGUGAUUUAGUUUCAUGUUUAAUAUUUUCUAAUUAAUAGGUUAAUAUUUUUUCAAAUUUAUUUAGUAAGAUUUCAAAUGAUUUAGUUUUAUGUUCAAUAUAUAUGACUUUUUUAAUGUUGGCUAAUUAAUAGGUUAGUGUUUUAUGAAAUUUAUUUAGUAAGUUUCAAGCAAUUAAGUUUUAUGUGGAAUAUAUGAGUUCUUUUAAUGUUGUCAAAUGGUUUAAUUUUAUUACCAAUAUAUGAGUUGUAUAAUGUUGUCAAAUGCUAUUGGAGAAUGCACAAUGAUGGGUGUGAUGAGUCUUGGGCUUCAAAAGCUGGUUGGACAAAUAGAGAUGGAUGGAUUGAAGCUAACAUAAUUAGGAGUUAUUUGGAAAUGCCAUUUUGUGUAAAAUUUGGCAUGUUUUGGUUGAUAUUUUUGGUCAUAUUAAUGGAACAAGUCCAAGUAGUUGGUGAAUUUCAUUUGCAAAUGUGUUUUACAAAUUUGUAAUGAAUUUAUGUUGGUGUACUAAGCAUUGAUACAGGAAUCAUUGAUGAAUAUAAGUUGGUUUUGGUUAUUAUUUAUAUACAGGAAUUUGAAUU